GGCAUCACUACGUAAGAUUUGGCACAACAACAAAUGCCUUCAUGUCCAUGUCGUAGUCCAAAGAGCAUCCAGGUGGCAACCUACAAGAUUGAAUGGUGUCUGUCACGUUUUGGCACAAGAAGAAAUAACGUGCUUGAAAUUAUCAAUAUGCCAAACAGACAAAAGAACCACCAACCAUACUCGAUCUCAAACAUUCGGAGAACCACCAAGGUUGUUGUCGCUUGGGCCUCGUGCAUGUGAAGAUCCAUCAGUAUUAGAUCCAUGGCCUGAUUGAUGAGGCAUCUGCAUAACGGGCAUACCAUUCUGGGUACAAUAAGCCUGCAAAUUAUGUUUGAGUGAACAUUAAGUACUGGUAGUAGAAGAGUUCAUGUAUGUCUGGCAAUUAAGGAACGAACCGCAAACAUUGCAAAGCAUUGACUAGUUUGUGCCAACACCGCCUGCUG
This 443-nucleotide long non-coding RNA is filed under the name Triticum aestivum (bread wheat). RNAcentral's name for it is "long non-coding RNA (TAES_LNC009154)". The record is from RNAcentral. Lineage: Eukaryota; Viridiplantae; Streptophyta; Magnoliopsida; Poales; Poaceae.